Molecule: ribosomal RNA, 551 nt
Filed under: uncultured bacterium
Lineage: Bacteria
Description: bacterial SSU rRNA
Rfam family: Bacterial small subunit ribosomal RNA
Source: RNAcentral
UAGGGAAUCUUCGGCAAUGGACGGAAGUCUGACCGAGCAACGCCGCGUGAGUGAAGAAGGUUUUCGGAUCGUAAAGCUCUGUUGUAAGAGAAGAACGAGUGUGAGAGUGGAAAGUUCACACUGUGACGGUAUCUUACCAGAAAGGGACGGCUAACUACGUGCCAGCAGCCGCGGUAAUACGUAGGUCCCGAGCGUUGUCCGGAUUUAUUGGGCGUAAAGCGAGCGCAGGCGGUUAGAUAAGUCUGAAGUUAAAGGCUGUGGCUUAACCAUAGUAGGCUUUGGAAACUGUUUAACUUGAGUGCAAGAGGGGAGAGUGGAAUUCCAUGUGUAGCGGUGAAAUGCGUAGAUAUAUGGAGGAACACCGGUGGCGAAAGCGGCUCUCUGGCUUGUAACUGACGCUGAGGCUCGAAAGCGUGGGGAGCAAACAGGAUUAGGUAUCCUGGUAGUCCACGCUGUAAACGAUGAGUGCUAGGUGUUAGACCCUUUCCGGGGUUUAGUGCGGGUAGCUAACGCAUUAAGCACUCCGCCUGGGGAGUACGACCGCAAGGUUG